CCCUUAGACGUUCUGGGCCGCACGCGCGCUACACUGACCAGUGCAACAAGCAUCCGUCCUUGGCCGACAGGCCCGGGCAAUCUUUGAACGCUGGUCGUGAUGGGGAUAGACUUUUGCAAUUUUUGGUCUUCAACGAGGAAUUCCUAGUAAACGCAAGUCAUCAACUUGCGUUGAUUACGUCCCUGCCCUUUGUACACACCGCCCGUCGCACCUACCGAUUGAAUGGUCCGGUGAAGCCUCCGGAUUGGCGCGCACCUCGGUGCCGCCGAGAAGUUGGCUAAACCUUACCAUUUAGAGGAAGGUGAAGUCGUAACA
RNAcentral lists this ribosomal RNA (315 nucleotides) under uncultured eukaryote. RNAcentral describes it as "partial 18S ribosomal RNA". It matches the Rfam family "Eukaryotic small subunit ribosomal RNA", at positions 1470 to 1796 of the family's 1831-position model. The record is from RNAcentral.